RNAcentral lists this ribosomal RNA (464 nucleotides) under uncultured bacterium. Its description in RNAcentral is "partial 16S ribosomal RNA". It matches the Rfam family "Bacterial small subunit ribosomal RNA", at positions 339 to 795 of the family's 1533-position model. The record is from RNAcentral.
CUACGGGAGCUGCAGUGGGGAAUAUUGGACAAUGGGGGAAACCCUGAACCAGCAAUGCCGCGUGUGUGAAGAAGGCCUGCGGGUUGUAAAGCACUUUCGGUUGGGAGGACUGCUUCUAGCACUAAUAUUGUUGGAAGUUGACGUUACCUUCAGAAGAAGCACCGGCUAACUCCGUGCCAGCAGCCGCGGUGAUACGGAGGGUGCAAGCGUUAAUCGGAAUUACUGGGCGUAAAGCGCGCGUAGGCGGCUAGAUCAGUCGGGUGUGAAAGCCCCGGGCUUAACCUGGGAACUGCAUCCGAUACUGUCUAGCUUGAGUACAGGAGAGGAGAGUGGAAUUCCACAUGUAGCGGUGAAAUGCGUAGAUAUGUGGAGGAACACCAAUGGCGAAGGCAGCUCUCUGGCCUGAUACUGACGCUGAGGUGCGAAAGCGUGGGGAGCAAACAGGAUUAGAUACCCGAGUAGUC